Molecule: ribosomal RNA, 779 nt
Filed under: Staphylococcus hominis subsp. hominis
Lineage: Bacteria; Bacillati; Bacillota; Bacilli; Caryophanales; Staphylococcaceae
Description: bacterial SSU rRNA
Rfam family: Bacterial small subunit ribosomal RNA
Source: RNAcentral
CGAGGAGCUUGCUCCUUUGACGUUAGCGGCGGACGGGUGAGUAACACGUGGGUAACCUACCUAUAAGACUGGGAUAACUUCGGGAAACCGGAGCUAAUACCGGAUAAUAUUUCGAACCGCAUGGUUCGAUAGUGAAAGAUGGCUUUGCUAUCACUUAUAGAUGGACCUGCGCCGUAUUAGCUAGUUGGUAAGGUAACGGCUUACCAAGGCAACGAUACGUAGCCGACCUGAGAGGGUGAUCGGCCACACUGGAACUGAGACACGGUCCAGACUCCUACGGGAGGCAGCAGUAGGGAAUCUUCCGCAAUGGGCGAAAGCCUGACGGAGCAACGCCGCGUGAGUGAUGAAGGUCUUCGGAUCGUAAAACUCUGUUAUUAGGGAAGAACAAACGUGUAAGUAACUGUGCACGUCUUGACGGUACCUAAUCAGAAAGCCACGGCUAACUACGUGCCAGCAGCCGCGGUAAUACGUAGGUGGCAAGCGUUAUCCGGAAUUAUUGGGCGUAAAGCGCGCGUAGGCGGUUUUUUAAGUCUGAUGUGAAAGCCCACGGCUCAACCGUGGAGGGUCAUUGGAAACUGGAAAACUUGAGUGCAGAAGAGGAAAGUGGAAUUCCAUGUGUAGCGGUGAAAUGCGCAGAGAUAUGGAGGAACACCAGUGGCGAAGGCGACUUUCUGGUCUGUAACUGACGCUGAUGUGCGAAAGCGUGGGGAUCAAACAGGAUUAGAUACCCUGGUAGUCCACGCCGUAAACGAUGAGUGCUAAGUGUUAGGGGGGUUUCC